UAGGGAAUCUUCCGCAAUGGGCGAAAGCCUGACGGAGCAACGCCGCGUGAGUGAUGAAGGUCUUCGGAUCGUAAAACUCUGUUAUUAGGGAAGAACAAAUGUGUAAGUAACUAUGCACGUCUUGACGGUACCUAAUCAGAAAGCCACGGCUAACUACGUGCCAGCAGCCGCGGUAAUACGUAGGUGGCAAGCGUUAUCCGGAAUUAUUGGGCGUAAAGCGCGCGUAGGCGGUUUUUUAAGUCUGAUGUGAAAGCCCACGGCUCAACUGUGGAGGGUCAUUUGAAACUGGAAAACUUGAGUGCAGAAGAGGAAAGUGGAAUUCCAUGUGUAGCGGUGAAAUGCGCAGAGAUAUGGAGGAACACCAGUGGCGAAGGCGACUUUCUGGUCUGUAACUGACGCUGAUGUGCGAAAGCGUGGGGAUCAAACAGG
This 429-nucleotide ribosomal RNA is filed under the name Actinomycetes bacterium. RNAcentral describes it as "Actinobacteria bacterium partial 16S ribosomal RNA". It matches the Rfam family "Bacterial small subunit ribosomal RNA", at positions 355 to 776 of the family's 1533-position model. The record is from RNAcentral. Lineage: Bacteria; Bacillati; Actinomycetota; Actinomycetes.